AAAAAAUGCAAACCCUAGGUAUUCGUGUCCAACUUUGACUGUCCGUCUUAUAUGAAAUUUUUUUAUAAUUCGUAUUUUCAUUGUUGUUAGAUGAUAAAACAUGAUUAAUAUUUUAUACGUGACUUGUCUUUUAAAUUUUUUUUACAAUUUUUUCAAAUAAAACGGACGGUCAAACGUUGGACACGGAAACCAGGGUUUGCCUUUUUU
Non-coding RNA from Oryza glumipatula, 207 nucleotides. NCBI's taxonomy places the organism in Eukaryota, Viridiplantae, Streptophyta, Magnoliopsida, Poales, Poaceae. The record is from Rfam.